Molecule: ribosomal RNA, 253 nt
Filed under: uncultured bacterium
Lineage: Bacteria
Description: partial 16S ribosomal RNA
Rfam family: Bacterial small subunit ribosomal RNA
Source: RNAcentral
UACGAAGGGGGCUAGCGUUGCUCGGAAUCACUGGGCGUAAAGAGCUCGUAGGCGGUUCCGUAAGUCAGGUGUGAAAAAUCUGGGCUCAACCCAGUGGAGCACCUGAUACUGCGGUGACUCGAGUCCGGUAGGGGAGUGUGGAAUUCCUGGUGUAGCGGUGAAAUGCGCAGAUAUCAGGAGGAACACCGACGGCGAAGGCAGCACUCUGGGCCGGUACUGACGCUGAGGAGCGAAAGCCAGGGGAGCAAACGGG